AUUUUGAAACUUAUGUGUAGUGUUCUCAUUGUUAGUGAGUGUGUAGGUGGG
RNAcentral lists this transfer RNA (51 nucleotides) under Mesabolivar sp. ITV1036I1. RNAcentral describes it as "tRNA-Asn". The record is from RNAcentral. RNAcentral also lists the same sequence under 1 other name. Lineage: Eukaryota; Metazoa; Arthropoda; Arachnida; Araneae; Pholcidae.